GCUGCUUAAUAUAAUGGAGGAAAAAGUGGAGGCAGAGGCUGUAGCGCCAAGACUGUGAUGCAGAACAGAGGAGUCAUGCCAAGACACUGAGACAGGUGGAUCAGCAGGGCUGAGAGCUUGAGGGAGAGCCAUGAGGCAGUGUGGCAGACUGCCUGCACCAGCGAACAAAGACAGCUCCUGGUUUGAGGAGCUGAUGAACUAUGUAGGUUCCGCAGGAAGGUCACUGACUGGUGGUUGCAGAGGAGAAUGAAUCCAAGGUCAGUAGGUGGUAUUAGAACAAGCAUCUGGAGGUGGGUGGAUGCUGAGAUUGGAAUUAUUUG
This is a long non-coding RNA of Echinops telfairi (small Madagascar hedgehog), 320 nucleotides long. RefSeq lists it as uncharacterized. The record is from RefSeq and is a predicted model, not a curated record. NCBI's taxonomy places the organism in Eukaryota, Metazoa, Chordata, Mammalia, Afrosoricida, Tenrecidae. The transcript has 3 exons.